CACAAGCGGUGGAGUAUGUGGUUAAUUCGACGCAACGCGAAGAACCUUACCAAGGCUUAAACUGCAGGGUAAACCCUCCGAAAGGAGGGCUGCUUCGGCGAUCCUGUAGAGGUGCUGCAUGGCUGUCGUCAGCUCGUGUCGUGAGAUGUUGGGUUAAGUCCCGCAACGAGCGCAACCCUUGUCCUUAGUUACCAGCGCGUCAUGGCGGGGACUCUAAGGAGACUGCCGUCGUAGGACGGAGGAAGGUGGGAUGACGUCAAGUCCUCAUGGCCCUUAUGUCUUGGGCUACACACGUACUACAAUGGCCGGUACAACGAGUCGCAAGGCCGCGAGGUCAAGCUAAUCUCUUAAAGCCGGUCCCAGUUCAGAUUGCAGUCUGCAACUCGACUGCAUGAAGGUGGAAUCGCUAGUAAUCGCAGAUCAGCACGCUGCGGUGAAUACGUUCCCGGGCCUU
RNAcentral lists this ribosomal RNA (454 nucleotides) under uncultured Candidatus Sumerlaeota bacterium. RNAcentral's name for it is "bacterial SSU rRNA". It matches the Rfam family "Bacterial small subunit ribosomal RNA", at positions 924 to 1382 of the family's 1533-position model. The record is from RNAcentral. Lineage: Bacteria; Candidatus Sumerlaeota.